CCUACGGGAGGCUGCAGUGAGGAAUAUUGGUCAAUGGACGAGAGUCUGAACCAGCCAGGUAGCGUGAAGGAUGACUGCCCUAUGGGUUGUACACUUCUUUUAUAUGGGAAUAAAAUGUUCCACGUGUGGGAGUUUGUAUGUACCAUAUGAAUAAGGAUCGGCUAACUCCGUGCCAGCAGCCGCGGUAAUACGGAGGAUCCGAGCGUUAUCCGGAUUUAUUGGGUUUAAAGGGAGCGUAGGUGGAUUGUUAAGUCAGUUGUGAAAGUUUGCGGCUCAACCGUAAAAUUGCAGUUGAAACUGGCAGUCUUGAGUACAGUAGAGGUGGGCGGAAUUCGUGGUGUAGCGGUGAAAUGCUUAGAUAUCACGAAGAACUCCGAUUGCGAAGGCAGCUCACUGGACUGCAACUGACACUGAGGCUCGAAAGUGUGGGUAUCAAACAGGAUUAGAUACCCCAGUAGUC
This 460-nucleotide ribosomal RNA is filed under the name uncultured bacterium. RNAcentral describes it as "partial 16S ribosomal RNA". It matches the Rfam family "Bacterial small subunit ribosomal RNA", at positions 338 to 795 of the family's 1533-position model. The record is from RNAcentral.